Molecule: non-coding RNA, 25 nt
Filed under: Cricetulus griseus (Chinese hamster)
Lineage: Eukaryota; Metazoa; Chordata; Mammalia; Rodentia; Cricetidae
Source: RNAcentral
ACUGGCGCUGUGGCUCGAUGCGGCA